Molecule: ribosomal RNA, 428 nt
Filed under: uncultured bacterium
Lineage: Bacteria
Description: partial 16S ribosomal RNA
Rfam family: Bacterial small subunit ribosomal RNA
Source: RNAcentral
CCUACGGGUGGCUGCAGUCGAGGAUCUUCGUCAAUGGGCGCAAGCCUGAACGAGCGAUGCCGCGUGAGCGAUGAAGGCCUUCGGGUUGUAAAGCUCAAAAGGAAAAAAACUCGAACCCCAGUAAGCUCGGGCUAAGUUCGUGCCAGCAGCCGCGGUAAGACGAACCGAGCGAACGUUGUUCGGAAUCACUGGGCUUAAAGGGCGCGUAGGCGGGUGCUCAAGUCCGUGGUGAAAUCCUCCGGCUCAACCGGAGAACUGCCUCGGAUACUGGGUGCCUCGAGGGUGGUAGGGGUAUGCGGAACUAUCGGUGGAGCGGUGAAAUGCGUUGAUAUCGAUAGGAACUCCGGUGGCGAAGGCGGCAUACUGGCCCUUCUGACGCUGAGGCGCGAAAGCCAGGGGAGCAAACGGGAUUAGAUACCCUUGUAGUC